CCUUGGUCAAGCUGAGACUUGCUUUUAACAGCUUGCUGACUAGGCUGUCUUUAACAAUAAGCCGUAGUGGUUUCAGGCACUUUACUGGUUUGCCAAAGUCUCCCUGUACACAGGCACAUGGUGCACACGAAUACACAUGAUGGGAUACAGGUAGGGACCACACAUCUCAAAGAGCCUCCAGUUACAAAGGUAAGUAACUUCCUCUUUUCUUGCCAUAUCUUCUUGUGAAUGAACAUAAGACUGUAAUUCUUUGCACCUUAUAAAUCUGAUUUUAGUGAGGUCUCAUAUAUCUAUCCUCAGGAAGGUCAAAUAUCUUUUCUUCUGCUUCCUCCUAGCUUUACAGAUUGGGGUAACUGAGGCACAUUGAAGAUAAGUGGUGUGCCCCAAGUUACAGAGAAUAUUUUCAGCAGAGCUGGGAGCGAAGUCCUGAUUAUUUUUUCACGAUUGAAUCAUGUCUUUUUGAUCAAAUCUGCCGAAGGCUUCUUCUCACUUGUGAAUGUUGAUUAUUUUAAAAGAGUGAUAGUCCCAUCUUUAAAUUACUCCUUGUUUUUGCCCUGAAUUCCAGUAUAUAUAUCCCUGUAGUCUAUUUCAGACAUACAGUAAUGAAAAUUAAUAUACUAUCUUACUUUUACUUUUUUAGGAAACCCGGUUGGAUGAUCUCCAUCAUGUUGCAGUAGCUCUGGGGAAACCAGAAGUAUUUGUACAGAAGGAUUCUAACGUUCUUUCUAAAGACCUGACCCAGCCACAAUUCCAGGUAUUGACUUUUGAUGAUUUAGUUGCUGCCGGUGUUCCUAUAGCACCUGAAGACCCUGCAUACUGGGAUAACUUUUGUUCCAAGCAGGAAUGCCCAGCACGCCAGAGUACUCAUUCAAGAUAACUGUGUUUCCAAGAAAAGAAGCUGAAAUCUUUCAAAGACCACUCAUUGUUCCUUUGCAAAGCUUAAUUUGAGUGUGUGUGUACAUUUCUCCUUUUAGACCAAUAUUCGGUUUUCCAGCCUCACAAAGCUGCCACCUUUUACCCUCUUUCCCCUAUGCUGAGAUCAUUUCAGGCUAAAGAAACUGUGAAAUAAAAGAUGUAAAUUGAU
This is a long non-coding RNA of Mauremys mutica (yellowpond turtle), 1084 nucleotides long. RefSeq lists it as uncharacterized. The transcript has 2 exons. NCBI's taxonomy places the organism in Eukaryota, Metazoa, Chordata, Testudines, Geoemydidae. The record is from RefSeq and is a predicted model, not a curated record.